Haliotis rubra (blacklip abalone) is the source of this 488-nucleotide long non-coding RNA. RefSeq lists it as uncharacterized. The record is from RefSeq and is a predicted model, not a curated record. NCBI's taxonomy places the organism in Eukaryota, Metazoa, Mollusca, Gastropoda, Lepetellida, Haliotidae. The transcript is spliced from 3 exons.
ACAGUGCAUGCCGCAGCGACUUAACAAACCUUUACAACGAUGUGAUAUCCCCCACAACAUCCGGCAUCAACAAUCUGUGUCCGUUUCAGGGACAGCUGAACGCCAGAUACCGCUUCAGUGUCGCCGAGGCCAUCUUUGUUGGUGUUCCCGCUCUCUUUGAUCAUAAGGUGGAACUGACGCUUAAAGUGGAAAAUUACGAUGGACAGAACACAGGUCUUGAACUUUGCGCCGGCAAUAUCAACCUACAGAAGACAGUGUUGUUUGGGCUGGUAGCCGGAGAAUGUAGCUUCACUGUGCAGGACAGUUCCCCAGGCGUUAAUCUCACACGGUUCGGACAACCCUGUAGUGUCGGGUACCAGCUGAGAGACGUCGGAGGAAGCAAGAAGUGUCUACCUUGUCCCCACGGAUACUCGUCGUCCCCAGUGGAGGUUGUGUUGAGUGCCCUGACGGUCAGUAUCAGGACCAGCCCGGACAACUCUCCUGUAAGA